CCUCCUCCCCCGCGAACCCCCCGUGUCCGCCGUGUCUUCAGCUCCGGAGGUCGGGAGGCGAAUAGGCGACCGCUAGGGUUUCAUUCCCCGGGGACGCGCCGCACCCUCGACCCCCACGCGCGGCCCUCUGACCUCCGCCUCUCCUCAUCCUCGCUCCUCCGCUCCGGGGUAAGAGACUCCCCUCCCUGCUCCUGGCCCCUCAUGCCCUAAUCGCGCGCCGGCCCCGGCUCGCCGUCGCCCCCAUCCGGAUCUCCGCCCCGCCACCGAGGUUCGAUUGUCGUGACAUGAUGCGGUACCUAUGACAUGAACAUUGCGGACUGGCCCAAGUGUGGUGGAGCUAAGGGUAGGUUGAGAUUUGAAAUUAAGUUAAAGCAUGGGGCUAAUGCUGGUAGUGCUUUGAAGCUGAUCCAGCCGAUCAAGGAUAAGUUUUCAGGUGUCGCAUAUGCAGAUCUAUUUCAGCUAGCUAGCGCCACAGCCAUUCAGGACGCAGGUGGCCCCAAAAUUCCCAUGAUCUAUGGAAGGGUUGACGUUACGGCCCCUGGACAAUGCCCGCCAGAGGGAAGGCUUCCUGGUCAGGGCAUCAAAUGCGACUGCUCCUACAAUGCAUCCACCGUCUGCCACAUCACCAAGCUGUAGGCAUCGAGAGAAAUGUUUUUUAUAUAUCCAUUUUUACUGAUGCAUGGGUCCUCGCUGCUCAGGUCAGGCAUGUCUCCCUCCCUCUCUCUCUCUCUGAUUUCCUGAAAUUGAGGUCCUGAUCUAGGUUUUAGGCCAUGGAAGCUGCUGCUGGGGUCACCGUCAAUCGAUGGCACCAAUUGCUUUUUCAAGAUCAAGUGUUCCAAACUUGAUCCCCCCAUCCUCUUUACUACUACAGCCCUAUUGUUGCUGCUUAUUAUUGGGGUUCAGAUAGUGAUACGUGUCUGAAUAUAAGCUGGAUGAACUGGAUCCACUUGUUAUUUGUUCACUGGUCUUUGAACUUUACCUAAUCAAGCUGUGCUUAUUCUCUGAAUACUGGGUUAGGAUUUUGUGUAUUCCAAAUGAACUGCUGACUGACCAAA
Long non-coding RNA from Panicum virgatum (switchgrass), 1055 nucleotides. RefSeq lists it as uncharacterized. NCBI's taxonomy places the organism in Eukaryota, Viridiplantae, Streptophyta, Magnoliopsida, Poales, Poaceae. The transcript is spliced from 3 exons. The record is from RefSeq and is a predicted model, not a curated record.